RNAcentral lists this long non-coding RNA (410 nucleotides) under Pongo abelii (Sumatran orangutan). Its description in RNAcentral is "lincRNA". The record is from RNAcentral. Lineage: Eukaryota; Metazoa; Chordata; Mammalia; Primates; Hominidae.
ACCUUAACAUUUGGAAGUUAGAAGUAAUCCAAAAAUUUGCUUCAGUAUAUAAUACAUCUGUUUUUCAGAUUCCUACAAAACAUAAAAAUUAUAGCUUAUAAAGGCCGGGUGCCUUGGUUCACGCCUGUAACACUAGAACUUUGGGAGGCUGAGGCAGGCGGAUUGCCUGAGCUGAGGAGUUCCAGACCAGCCUGGGCAACAAGGUGAAACCCUAUCUCUACUAAAAUACAAAAAAAUUAGCCAGGCGUGGCAGUGUAUGCCUGUAGUCCCAGCUACUCGGGAGGCUGAGGCAGGAGAAUUGCUUGAGCCCCGGAGGCAGAGGUUGCAGGGAGCCGAGAUCAUGUCACUGCAUUCCAGCCUGGGCAACAGAGCAAGACUCCAACUCUACCAAAAAAAAAAAAAAAAAAAAA